ACGACACUGCCUAGCUGACGGCACCCUGAGGAGUCCCUCUCUGUGAGAGCGCACGGGUCGGUGAGAGGUAUCUGGUCGCAGUAGGCGGUCCCGUAGAUAACCCGGCCCUAUGCCAUGGAGCGCUUUAAAGGUGGUCACCAAAACCUUGAAGCGCACCCGGAAGGCCACAGGUAGCCAGUGCAGCCUGCGCAGGAUGGGUGUUAUGCGGGAGCCACGAGGGGCUCCCUCUAUCACCCGCGCAGCCGCAUUCUGAACUAACUGCAGCCUCCGGAUGCCCUUCAAGGGAAGCCCCAUGUAGAGAGCAUUGCAGUAAUCCAGGCGAGACGUCACAAGGGCGUGAGUGACCGUGCAUAGGGCAUCCCGGUCCAGAAAGGGGCGCAACAUAGAAGAUCAUUUUCAAUUUUAAGGUCUGGCAGAAGGCAAUAGUAAUUCAAAUAGAAAGUUCCCUCAGUCACAAAUUAUUUAAAAAAUGUUUGGUGUUUCUAGCCACCGAGCCUUCUAUCUUUCUAUAACUGUCAGUACAGAGUUGUUUUUCCAACUUGGCAACUUUCAGAUGUGUGGACUUCAACUCCCAGAACACCUUAGCCAGCAUUAGGUUGCCAAGUCUGAAAGAUACUUCUCUAGAAUAUUCUUUGAAGUUUUAUGUCAAAGAAACAGCAGGUAGAAUACUUUUGCCAGGGUAAAACAAAAGAAAUUAUUGACAUAAUUACAUGUUACGCUUAAAACACCGGUAGACAUUAAAUGUCAUUAAAAUCUGUACUUUAAAAUCUCAAUAGAACUCCAUUUGUCUAAAUCAAAUUACUUUGACUCAACUUUGAUUUUUAUAAGAAUAAACCAUAAUUGUGAAUAGAGUGGACACUGGGAAAUAUCAAUUAUCUCUAGGAAUGCUAUUAAAACAUCAAUCACAAUGUUUUUAAUGGCAACAAUUACUGACGUUUUCUCACAUCCCACAUUUAUAGAAUUCCAAAGAAAUCUCCUGAACAAAUCAUUUCUAUCAGAAUACUUAUCACUAAUAAUUUGAUCAAUUAAAUGAUCAAAUUAUUAUUAGAACCCACUAUGUUAUAAGUGAAUUUUUUUCUCUCAUUUUUCUCUCACAUUGCUGAUUCUGGAUCACCAGAUACUCAUGACAGACGUUAAAAGAGUAUUAACGAUUAGAUUAAAUAUAGCUUAUUUGUGUAAAUAAUUCAAGGUGGCAAACACGCCUAAUGCUCCUUUCUUUUAUGUUUCCACCACAACAAUCCUGUGAGAUGAGCUGUGUUGACAGAGACUGACUGGCCCAGUGGUGGGAGGCUGCCGGAUUAACAACCGGUUCGGUGAGCGCGUGUUAAGGCGCUUGUGUGCAGCGCUGAAAAUGGAGCAUUUAGAAGCUCAGCUGCUUACCUUCCAAGUCAGCAAUGCUUACAGCAGUCAAGGAAUGACUACGGGUUCUAUCAGCCCAGUUUUUGGAAGCAUCUGUGAGGAAUGUAAAUUUGAAAGUACAAGUCCAAUCAUUUCAACAGAGGGAUGACUUCUUUGUACUUUUAAAUUCUGAGGUGCUAUUUGGUGGUGACAGAAGAGGUGGUUAUCUGUAUGAGGAAAGAAGUCUGUGUUGGGGAAUGAGAAUUGGUGUCUUCAGCCCUUCAUGCCCUGGACUCUCAAUCAUUGCUUGCUUCAAUUCCAUUGACCAAUCAUCAUUUCAGGAGUUCCAGGAAAAAAGGGAAGGUUGGAGACCACCUGCUAAGUGGACCAAUGGUUUCUUGAAGAGGGGAUGCAUCAUCAUCUCCUUCCAGGUCAAUAAUACUACCUCCAUCCUGAAGAUGCGUACACAAUUUUAUUUUAUUUAUUUAUUUAUUUUUGUCACAACAUCAUACAAAAAGAUUAUAUAGUAUAUACACAUAUAAACAUAUAUAGGAAGAAGAAAAGAAAAACAAUAGGACAGGAACGGUAGGCACGUUUGUGCGCUUAUGCACGCCCCUUAUGGUCCUCUUAGGAAUGGGGUGAGGUCAAUAGUAGAAAGUUUUUGGUUAAAGCUAUUAGGAUAAGCUCCCAACACCUCCCUGGAGGCUUUCACCACUUUAUAAGAAUCAAGUUCUAAACCACAAGUGACGUACAUCAGUCCUUAAAAUGGGCAGGCUCAAACUCAUCUCAGAUAAUCCUGCAAGAAGAAGGUUCUGUCUUCCUCUAUCUUCCUCUAUGUCAAUCCUGAAAAUAAAAAGGAUUAACCAAACCAAAUACCACCAUCCAGCAAUUGCAUUUUGAUUCUCUUUGUUAAUAAUCGUUCCUAUUACCCUUCCUUACCCCCCCAUCUAUUUCUCUGAAGUUAAAGUCAUUCCUAAGCUAAUGGUCUCUUUGUUUCAGUCCCCUCUUUAAAACUGAUAUUCCUGAACAGGUGUUCACAGAAGACAGCACAUUUCCUAUUGUCCUUUGUAUUGCUAGGUGUGCCAUCCACUUUCUUGGGUAACUCCUUACCCCAGCAAGAAAGCUCAUCCAGCUCAGCAUCUCCUGGAAAGAUUGACUUGACUUACUCUUCUACCCCAAAAUGCUCAUCUUCUUUUCUCUCCAGAAAUCUCCUUUUCUACCGCCUUUCCCUGAACAAGUGAUGCCCGUACAAACAAGUGGGCAUGUAUAAAUGCUAUCUCUUUACACUUUCUGUCUUCUUUGCUGUGGACAAAGUUUUAACAUUACACUUUUAAGCCUUCUGUCCUUUCUACUAUGGCAAAAGCUACUGACUUAUUUGCUUGCUGGCAUGCCUCAGACUCUUUUGGCCUUACAUUGAACUGCUCACCCACCUUGGCACAAAGUCUUCUGGUGUGUUUAGUUUCUACUUUGCUUUUUCUGCCUAUAUAGUUGAACUCUGUGUGAGCUCCAUUAGAAUCAAUUGCUUCUAGAAAUCAUCUAUUUACCGUCCUUCUCUGAACUCACUCUUUGUCCCUCUCUCUCCUUUAAUUGCACGUACUGCGUUCUUCAUAGUCUAGUAUUAACCACUUCAGAUCUCUUGUGUUAGCUUUUACACUGCUGAUUGGAAUGUUCUGUGAUUAGCCUCCUUUGUUUUUUUGAUAAGUACAUCGCUUUAUUAUUCAUUAUAACUUCAUUCUUGGACUUCUGAACACCCGUGUUUGUUUCUGCAGCCUCCCCCAUUCAUUAAACAUUUUUGCCAAAAUUUAAAGAUUCCUUAACAUGUUGACAUCUAAAGGUGGCCAAAUCACAUAGUAACAAAAGGGAGGGUUUAAAUUCAUUUCUUGCAGCAAUGCUUAAAGAAGAAGGAGCAUAUGGAAGAAAGAAUCCAUACAAUACGUUUAUUUGGUUCUGAAAAACACAUUUCUGUUCUGACCAUACAGGAUUUCAAUUGCAAAGCAUUUAAGCUAUUGAUACAUUUGUCCCCAUGUUGAAAAAAAGGCAUUGCUUUGUAGGAUGCUGUAAGAACAACAUUAUCCAAGUAGAGGAAAAGAAACUUUCAUCCGUUUGUUAAAAUAAAUUAGGAUAAAUGUGAGGACUGUCUAAUGUUCAAAGUUGACAGCUUCUUUCUUUUCAGGAUAAUAAAGAAAGGAAUUGCCCUUGGUGGAUAAAAGCUUGGCACAGGUUUCCAGAGCAUUUAGCUAUUUGGCACAUUGUCUUAGCUUAGAGAGGCAUAACUAGGUUAAAAAAAUAGCAAUUGUUAUGUGAGGACAAGAAUGUAGGAAAUAGUGUGCAAAAAUGACAUCUAAUUUAUUGUCUUCCAAUUGGAUUUCUUACAUUAUACAUGAUGGGCCUUUUUGAGAUUGCUCUUACUCCAAUCAUUCCUCUUUACUGCCAUGCUGUUAACAGCAAUUU
Long non-coding RNA from Ahaetulla prasina, 3789 nucleotides. RefSeq lists it as uncharacterized. The record is from RefSeq and is a predicted model, not a curated record. The transcript has 4 exons. NCBI's taxonomy places the organism in Eukaryota, Metazoa, Chordata, Lepidosauria, Squamata, Colubridae.